Molecule: non-coding RNA, 905 nt
Organism: Pelobates cultripes (western spadefoot toad)
Lineage: Eukaryota; Metazoa; Chordata; Amphibia; Anura; Pelobatidae
Source: the annotation of a GenBank genome assembly
CCCACAUUCAACCUAUCCCCAGAUGGCUUGGAUCUGAGCGCUCAAUAUAUCCAAACAGCGCUCAGAUCCCACAAAUACAGUCAAAUCGCCAUACACACUAGGUCCAUAGUCAUGGGGCAGAAGGCUGGCAAUUAGGCUUCUCCAUAACACAGGGAAGUAGGGCAAUUUGUCAAAUAAAAUAACAGUUACAAAUGGCAGUUUGUAACAACUUACAAAAUACUUGUGCUACUGACAACUCAGUCCAGUGUAUGUCACUUCACCCUACUACCGGUUAUAGGCUUAGACCAACCACUACACCUCCUUAUACACCUCACCCUAAGGUAAAAAGGUCUCUACCCCCUAUACCAUAUGUCCCUCAACAUAACGUUCUAUGUAGUGAUAGACAUGAAUGGAGUUGGAGCAAGAGUGAUAUGAAUCGAACUCAAGGUAAUUUUUCCUGCCCUACAAACCAAACGUGUCAAAUUUAUAAUAUAACAAGAAAUUUCCAGCAGAAGGAUGUAAAAUUAUGUAAUAUAAAAUCGCAAUGGUGCAUGAUUGUAAAACUGAGAAAACCGCUGCUGGAAACUGUUCUGUUCAAAUCCAUAAUAAUACUGGGUUCUGUGCCACUGCUUUUGCUAUAGAUGUACCUUCGAUGCAAACUACCUUUUGGGAUAUAUGGCAAACUUGGUAUAGGGCCAAUAAUAAGACAACUAAUAAUGCAUGUAAUGAUGCCAGUUUAAUUAAAGGAUCCAAUGACAAUUACACCAUAACCUGGCAAGAAGGACAUUACCCAUACACCAGUUGCCACCCACGUUCUCAAGGGCGAACUAUUGAAAGUAAGUUCUAAAAUCCAGGAUGACUUGGCUGGUAUGAUAUAUUCACAGGUUAUUCCCCCACAGGUGCUCAAAUUGUUAGAUCAUUCUUUU